ACCUUCGGGUUAGUGGCGGACGGGUGAGUAACGCGUGAGCAUCUGCCCUCAGGAGGGGGAUAACGGUUGGAAACGACCGCUAAUACCCCAUAUGCCGAUAGGUGAAAUGAAUUUCGCCUGAGGAUGAGCUCGCGUCUGAUUAGCUUGUUGGUGAGGUAAUGGCUCACCAAGGCUUCGAUCAGUAGCUGGUCUGAGAGGAUGAUCAGCCACACUGGGACUGAGACACGGCCCAGACUCCUACGGGAGGCAGCAGUGGGGAAUUUUCCGCAAUGGGCGAAAGCCUGACGGAGCAACGCCGCGUGAGGGACGAAGGCCUCUGGGCUGUAAACCUCUUUUCUCAAGGAAGAAGAUAUGACGGUACUUGAGGAAUAAGCCACGGCUAAUUCCGUGCCAGCAGCCGCGGUAAUACGGGAGUGGCAAGCGUUAUCCGGAAUUAUUGGGCGUAAAGCGUCCGCAGGCGGCCUUUCAAGUCUGCUGUUAAAGCGUGGAGCUUAACUCCAUCAUGGCAGUGGAAACUGAUCGGCUUGAGUAUGGUAGGGGCAGAGGGAAUUCCCGGUGUAGCGGUGAAAUGCGUAGAUAUCGGGAAGAACACCAGUGGCGAAGGCGCUCUGCUGGGCCAUUACUGACGCUCAUGGACGAAAGCCAGGGGAGCGAAAGGGAUUAGAUACCCCUGUAGUCCUGGCCGUAAACGAUGAACACUAGGUGUCGGGGGAAUCGACCCCUUCGGUGUCGUAGCUAACGCGUUAAGUGUUCCGCCUGGGGAGUACGCACGCAAGUGUGAAACUCAAAGGAAUUGACGGGGGCCCGCACAAGCGGUGGAGUAUGUGGUUUAAUUCGAUGCAACGCGAAGAACCUUACCAGGGUUUGACAUCCUGAGAACCUCUUAGAAAUUUGAGGGUGCCUUCGGGAAUUCAGUGACAGGUGGUGCAUGGCUGUCGUCAGCUCGUGUCGUGAGAUGUUGGGUUAAGUCCCGCAACGAGCGCAACCCACGUUUUUAGUUGCCAGCAUUUAGUUGGGCACUCUAGAAAGACCGCCGGUGAUAAACCGGAGGAAGGUGUGGAUGACGUCAAGUCAUCAUGCCCCUUACACCCUGGGCUACACACGUACUACAAUGCUACGGACAAAGGGCAGCAAACUCGCGAGAGCUAGCAAAUCCCAUAAACCGUGGCUCAGUUCAGAUCGUAGGCUGCAACUCGCCUACGUGAAGUAGGAAUCGCUAGUAAUCGCAGGUCAGCAUACUGCGGUGAAUACGUUCCCGGGCCUUGUACACACCGCCCGUCACACCAUGGAAGUUGGCCAUGCCCGAAGUCGUUACUCCAACCCUUGUGGAGGAGGACGCCGAAGGUGGGGCUAAUGACUGGGGUGAAGUCGUAACAAGGUAGCCGUACCGGAAGGUGCGGCUG
Molecule: ribosomal RNA, 1403 nt
Filed under: Prochlorococcus sp. AG-679-M10
Lineage: Bacteria; Bacillati; Cyanobacteriota; Cyanophyceae; Synechococcales; Prochlorococcaceae
Description: bacterial SSU rRNA
Rfam family: Bacterial small subunit ribosomal RNA
Source: RNAcentral